Non-coding RNA from Caenorhabditis elegans, 105 nucleotides. NCBI's taxonomy places the organism in Eukaryota, Metazoa, Nematoda, Chromadorea, Rhabditida, Rhabditidae. The record is from Ensembl.
GUAAUCAUUGGUCUGCUUCUCACUGUCAUUACGAAUUUCCUCGAACUCGAACAUAAUUAUAGUGACGUAAAGUUGCAGGACGAGCUUUGAUCCGGCAAUCAUAUA